This 379-nucleotide ribosomal RNA is filed under the name uncultured eukaryote. Its description in RNAcentral is "partial 18S ribosomal RNA". It matches the Rfam family "Eukaryotic small subunit ribosomal RNA", at positions 592 to 975 of the family's 1831-position model. The record is from RNAcentral.
CAAUAGCGUGUAUUAAAGUUGUUGCGGUUAAAAAGCUCGUAGUUGGAUUUCUGCUGAGAACGACCGGUCCGCCCUCUGGGUGUGUAUCUGGCUCUUUCUUGGCAUCUUCUUGGUGAACGUUGCUGCACUUGACUGUGUGGAGCGCUACCCAGGACUUUUACUUUGAGGAAAUUAGAGUGUUUCAAGCAGGCAUACGCCUUGAAUACAUUAGCAUGGAAUAAUAAGAUAGGACCUCGGUUCUAUUUUGUUGGUUUCUAGAGCUGAGGUAAUGAUUAAUAGGGAUAGUUGGGGGCAUUCGUAUUUAACUGUCAGAGGUGAAAUUCUUGGAUUUGUUAAAGACGGACAACUGCGAANGNGUUUGCNCAGGAUGUUUNCAUUG